RNAcentral lists this ribosomal RNA (237 nucleotides) under uncultured bacterium. RNAcentral's name for it is "partial 16S ribosomal RNA". It matches the Rfam family "Bacterial small subunit ribosomal RNA", at positions 99 to 334 of the family's 1533-position model. The record is from RNAcentral.
CGAACGGGUGAGUAACGCGUGAGGAACCUGCCUCAAAGAGGGGGACAACAGUUGGAAACGACUGCUGAUACCGCAUAAGCCCACGGGUCGGCAUCGACCUGAGGGAAAAGGAGCAAUCCGCUUUGAGAUGGCCUCGCGUCCGAUUAGCUAGUUGGUGAGGUAACGGCCCACCAAGGCGACGAUCGGUAGCCGGACUGAGAGGUUGAACGGCCACAUUGGGACUGAGACACGGCCCAG